GAUGAACGCUGGCGGCGUGCCUAAUACAUGCAAGUCGAGCGAAUGGAUUAAGAGCUUGCUCUUAUGAAGUUAGCGGCGGACGGGUGAGUAACACGUGGGUAACCUGCCCAUAAGACUGGGAUAACUCCGGGAAACCGGGGCUAAUACCGGAUAACAUUUUGAACCGCAUGGUUCGAAAUUGAAAGGCGGCUUCGGCUGUCACUUAUGGAUGGACCCGCGUCGCAUUAGCUAGGUGGUGAGGUAACGGCUCACCAAGGCAACGAUGCGUAGCCGACCGGAGGGGGUGAUCGGCCACACUGGGACUGAGACACGGCCCAGACUCCUACGGGAGGUAGCAGUAGGGAAUCUUCCGCAAUGGACGAAAGUCUGACGGAGCAACGCCGCGUGAGUGAUGAAGGCUUUCGGGUCGUAAAACUCUGUUGUUAGGGAAGAACAAGUGCUAGUUGAAUAAGCUGGCACCUUGACGGUACCUAACCAGAAAGCCACGGCUAACUACGUGCCAGCCGCCGCAGUAA
This 515-nucleotide ribosomal RNA is filed under the name uncultured bacterium. RNAcentral's name for it is "partial 16S ribosomal RNA". It matches the Rfam family "Bacterial small subunit ribosomal RNA", at positions 28 to 523 of the family's 1533-position model. The record is from RNAcentral.